GGCUGGAGUAUUUAUCACCCUUGUCUUUUGCGCACUUGUUGUUUCCUGGGCGGGUUCGCCCGCCACCAGGACCACCAUGAUAAACCUUUUUUAUGCAGUUGCAAUCAGCGUCAGUACAACCAAUGUAAAUCAUUUACAACUUUCAACAACGGAUCUCUUGGUUCUGGCAUCGAUGAAGAACGCAGCGAAAUGCGAUACGUAGUGUGAAUUGCAGAAUUCAGUGAAUCAUCGAAUCUUUGAACGCACAUUGCGCCCUUUGGUACUCCAAAGGGCAUGCCUGUUCGAGCGUCAUUUGUACCCUCAAGCUUUGCUUGGUGUUGGGCGUUUGUCUUUGGUUGCCAAAGACUCGCCUUAAAACGAUUGGCAGCCGGCCUACUGGUUUCGCAGCGCAGCACAUUUUUGCGCUUGCAAUCAGCAAAAGAGGACGGCACUCCAUCAAGACUCCUUCUCACGUUUGACCUCGGAUCAGGUAGGGAUACCCGCUGAACUUAAGCAUAUCAAUA
Molecule: ribosomal RNA, 503 nt
Filed under: Curvularia australis
Lineage: Eukaryota; Fungi; Ascomycota; Dothideomycetes; Pleosporales; Pleosporaceae
Description: eukaryotic LSU rRNA
Rfam family: 5.8S ribosomal RNA (bases 138-291)
Source: RNAcentral